Macaca mulatta (Rhesus monkey) is the source of this 294-nucleotide non-coding RNA. The record is from RefSeq and is a predicted model, not a curated record. NCBI's taxonomy places the organism in Eukaryota, Metazoa, Chordata, Mammalia, Primates, Cercopithecidae.
AUUCAAGCAAUCCUCCUGCCUUGGCCUCCCAAAGUGCUGGGAUUACAGGCUCUGCCAGCAGAGAAGAGGAGAAGAGGAGAAGCAGCGGGAUGUCUGAGACUAUGGUUGGACGUUAGAGAGAAGCAGCUUGACUUCAGAGGGAUGGCUUGACAACAUUGCUUCGGAGAGGAGUGCGGUGGGGGAUGGCUGGACUCCGGGGAAGGUUAUCUUCCCACUCCAUCCCCAUUUCAGCUCCCCUUCCCACUGAGAGCCACUUUCAUUGGCAAUAAAAUCCCCCGAACUUACCAUCUCCAA